Molecule: ribosomal RNA, 253 nt
Filed under: uncultured bacterium
Lineage: Bacteria
Description: partial 16S ribosomal RNA
Rfam family: Bacterial small subunit ribosomal RNA
Source: RNAcentral
UACGUAGGUGGCAAGCGUUGUCCGGAUUUACUGGGCGUAAAGGAUGCGUAGGCGGAUAUUUAAGUGGGAUGUGAAAUACCCGGGCUCAACCUGGGUGCUGCAUUCCAAACUGGAUAUCUAGAGUGCGGGAGAGGAAAGUGGAAUUCCUAGUGUAGCGGUGAAAUGCGUAGAGAUUAGGAAGAACACCAGUGGCGAAGGCGACUUUCUGGACCGUAACUGACGCUGAGACGCGAAAGCGUGGGGAGCAAACAGG